UUUUUUGUAUACUUCUGUAAAGUGGAACGGUGGUCGUAGAACUGCCACCUUGCUGGCCUCUUAAGAGAGGUUUUGGGAACACGAGCAGCUGAGCAGCAGAGCAGGCACGAGUGGAGAAGCAAGGAGAGGUAGAGGGGUGGCCGGUGGCGGUACGGAAAGCUAAAGGGUACCGAGUUGUUUCGGCGGAGGUGGAGCUGGGGUUUGGGAUCGGACUCGUUCGGGUUGUUAGGUUUGGGGAAGGAGGGGUAGGUCUGGGUGGAGUGGAGGAAGCAGAGGAGGGAGGGGGAGGGUGCCCGGUAACGCGGCGGUACCCGAGCGUAGGGGAGGGGUAGAAGCAGCCGCCGCGACGGUCAGCGUCUCUAGCUCCCGGCCGAGCGGCCCCACGGGCACAUGCGAGAGCGAUUGAGGCGGGUCCUUAAGUACGAACACAGCUUUUGGGUGCCCCCGCCCCUACACCCGCCUUCGCGCUCCGCAGGUGGUCGCGAGCCCUACGAGACGAAGGCCUCCCUCCUGCGGCUAUACGAGGAGCGUGUUUACCUGCUGCUAUACGCGCGACCGAGGUGGCACCAUGGACAACGCGAGUUGUUCCAAUAGGUUGACUUCAGACUACCACACCGUAAAUCUAAAGAAGGACUAGGAAGAGUCCACCGAUUACGUUAAUUCAACUACGUUCUACCUCCCCUUAAAUACUUACUCCCCAAAGGUCCUCAAGGACAAAAGGUCAGUUCCUCGGAACAAGAUUCCUUACUAUUGUUCUCUAUAGCCGGUCAAAAGAAAUCUUUCCUCCUGAAUCUGUUCAGUGACGUGGCUCGUAGAUCACUGGUCGUUUUCGGAUAGGGACGACAAUCCUAACCACUGUGUGUCCAAAGAAGAAACCUCCUAUAGUAGUGUAGUUACUUCCUAUCGAGGAGGAGCUUUACCCUACUACGGCAAAAAUAAGGAGGUCCAAAGCUGUAUCGAUAACCGAGUCUCGGUAGUGUGGAGUUGUUCAUCUAUAAAGACAUGUAACUCCCACCAGUCGACCAUAACAGAGCUUUUAUCAACUUGUACCUAUACCAUCUAACUAUCAUAUAUACAAGUACGGGAAAUGUGGUACUGGACUACACACUGAGUAAAAGUUCCAACAGUAAGGGACGCAAUCGUUAUGCAAGCCGUUUCAUCUGGCCUUCCACUUGUUUGGAGUAGCUUUCAUCUGGUCUUUCAUUUAGCUAGCAGUAUGGAACAAAGAAGAUACGUAUUAUAGCUUUAAUACGUACAUGACACGCAGCGAGUGCUCAAACCGCAGUCGUUGAAACGUCUCCGUUACAAAGGGUACACAAGUGGCACUUACUACACUUACCUAGAUUGAUCCGGUCAACGUGUUCUGAGGAAACACGUCAGUUAAAUUAUGAGGG
RNAcentral lists this ribosomal RNA (1394 nucleotides) under Triticum aestivum (bread wheat). Its description in RNAcentral is "partial small subunit ribosomal RNA". The record is from RNAcentral. Lineage: Eukaryota; Viridiplantae; Streptophyta; Magnoliopsida; Poales; Poaceae.